CAACAAGCAUGGAAUAACUUGUUAAUAGUUGUAACAAGCUUGUUGAUAUUAUCAGACUUGUUGCAAGGUUGUUUCACCAAGUCCGAUACAGUCAUGAUAUAACAAUACUGUUACAACCUUGUGUCGUCAACCUUGUAACAUUCUUGUUAUAUCAUGACUGUUCAGACUUGUUAGAACAACCUUGUAACAAGUCUGAUAAUACCAUCAAGCUUGUUACAAACUUGUUACAACAGUUUGUUCCAAACUUGUUG
This 251-nucleotide microRNA precursor is filed under the name Paramuricea clavata. The record is from RNAcentral. Lineage: Eukaryota; Metazoa; Cnidaria; Anthozoa; Malacalcyonacea; Plexauridae.